Molecule: long non-coding RNA, 847 nt
Filed under: Panax ginseng (ginseng)
Lineage: Eukaryota; Viridiplantae; Streptophyta; Magnoliopsida; Apiales; Araliaceae
Description: long non-coding RNA (PGIN_LNC011615)
Source: RNAcentral
GAAAAAUGACAAAAGACUGAGGAUAUUUAUAAACCAAAUAAUAUCUCUAAUGCCAUAAGACCAUAUUUAAGAUCAUGUUCCGGACAGAUGCAUGUCGUCCCUCGUCUAGACAAUACAGUCUCUAUGUACCAAACUUUCACAUGCAUAAAGUUAUGGUAUUACUAGUCCAAGCCGAGAGCAGAUCUUCUGUCCCUAUUUUCCCCAUCUCUUUUGUGUUCGUUCACUUAAAUUUUGACAUCUAGUCACUUAUUUAAUUUUAGAGUUAAUUAAUGUUAAGCAAGAGGCUAGAUAAAUGCAAUUCCAAGAUCAUUUGUAACAUUCAUUCAGUAGAAGCUAACACUUGCUCAAACACAAUUUAGUGAACACUAUACAACAACUUUUCAUUGCUAAUAUUUAACUUACACACCAGUAUAGUUCUUAGGGAAUAGGGAUGUGAUAUUAAUAAUUAUAAUUCAUAAUUAAAACAAAUUGGAUCACAAGAAAUCCAUCAAGGCAUUAUGUAAUUAUAUACAUAUAUGGCGCAGUUACAAUCUUUACGUACGCACACACGUGUUUAAAAUUUGAACGUACAAAUGGACAAUGAUGCAACUGUUCAUACUAAUGUUAUUAUACAACAAAUUAAAUUAAUCCAACAAAUACCCAAAAUAGAUAAUGUUAUUAUACAACAAUGUUAUUUUAUAGGGAGAGGUGCAAGAAUUUUAUACGAUACUUGUGGGCAAAUGCGGCCGCGUUUGAUGUUGUGGGGCGGUUGGUCAUGGUGUCGGCGUCUGAAUCUUCUUUCUUCUCCCUCUUCCUCCUUUUUUUUCUUUCUUCUUACGUUCGACUGUAUAGGUUCUGAUGAAAUUUA